RNAcentral lists this unclassified non-coding RNA (377 nucleotides) under uncultured Rubrobacterales bacterium. RNAcentral's name for it is "contains 16S-23S intergenic spacer region". The record is from RNAcentral. Lineage: Bacteria; Bacillati; Actinomycetota; Rubrobacteria; Rubrobacterales.
UCCGGUUUGGCACCGGCAGUCUCUCUAGAGUGCCCGGCUUUACCCGCUGGUAACUAAGGACAGGGGUUGCGCUCGUUGCGCCACUUAAGGCAACACCUCACGGCACGAGCUGACGACAGCCAUGCAGCACCUGUGGUGCACCCUCGAAGGUCACACGUUUCCGUGCGCUUGCAGCACCAUGUCAAGCCCAGGUAAGGUUCUUCGCGUUGCAUCGAAUUAAAGAACAUGCUCCGCUGCUUGUGCGGGCCCCCGUCAAUUCUUUUGAGUUUUAGCCUUGCGGCCGUACUCCCCAGGCGGAACACUUAACGCGUUGGCUGCGGCACAGGAGGAUUCGACUCCCCCCACACCUAGCACUCAACGUUUACGGCUGGGACUAC